GGAGAGGUGGCUCAGGGGUUAAGAGCACUGACUGUUCUUCCAGAGGUCCUGAGUUCAAUUCCCAGCAACCCCA
RNAcentral lists this transfer RNA (73 nucleotides) under Neotoma lepida (desert woodrat). It matches the Rfam family "tRNA". Rfam says of the family: Transfer RNA (tRNA) molecules are approximately 80 nucleotides in length. Their secondary structure includes four short double-helical elements and three loops (D, anti-codon, and T loops). Lineage: Eukaryota; Metazoa; Chordata; Mammalia; Rodentia; Cricetidae. The record is from Rfam by way of RNAcentral.